CUGAAUAGGAAUAAGUACACUCAUACAAGAAAAGCUCUAUUGCUCAAGCUGUGCAUACCAGAUACCCUGGAUCUUAACAUCCUUUGGAACCUUGGCUCCCAUAUCAGUAUCAGAUGGCUGAAGGCUCUCAAACACUCCAAUAACCUCUCCAGUCUCAGGCUUGCUCUUGGUAACGCUGAGGGUGAUCUUCCCUGUUGAAGAUGAAGUAUUCUUGAUAUUCUCCUUGGCGAGAUC
This 234-nucleotide long non-coding RNA is filed under the name Citrus x clementina. RNAcentral's name for it is "Citrus clementina (C. clementina) long non-coding RNA (CCLE_LNC001287)". The record is from RNAcentral. Lineage: Eukaryota; Viridiplantae; Streptophyta; Magnoliopsida; Sapindales; Rutaceae.